GCAUAUCCAUAGCGGAGGAAAAGAAACUAACCAGGGAUUCCCCUAGUAACUGCGAGUGAAGCGGGAAGAGCUCAAAUUUGAAAUCUGGCGGUCUUUCGGCCGUCCGAGUUGUAACCUGUAGAGGCAUUUUCCGCGUUGGACCGUGUACAAGUCUCCUGGAAUGGAGCGUCAUAGAGGGUGAGAAUCCCGUCCGUGACACGGACGACCAAUGCUUUGUGAUAUGCCUUCGAAGAGUCGCGUUGUUUGGGAAUGCAGCGCAAAAUGGGUGGUAAAUUCCAUCUAAAGCUAAAUACUGGCGAGAGACCGAUAGCGAACAAGUACCGUGAGGGAAAGAUGAAAAGCACUUUGGAAAGAGAGUUAAACAGUACGUGAAAUUGUUGAAAGGGAAACGCUUGAAGUCAGUCGCGUUCCGAGGAACUCAGCCUUGCUUCGGCUUGGUGUACUUUCCUUGUGAACGGGUCAACAUUAAUUUUGGCCGGUGGAUAAAUGCAAGGGGAAUGUAGCGUUGCUUCGGUGACGUGUUAUAGCCCUUUGUUGUAUACACCGGCCGGGAUUAAGGAACCGCAGCACGCCCUUUGUGGCCGAGGGGUUCGCCCCUACGUACCGUGCUUAGGAUGUUGGCAUAAUGGCUUUAAGCGACCCGUCUUGAAACACGGACCAAGGAGUCUAACAUGCUUGCGAGUGUUCGGGUGGAAAACCCUUGCGCGUAAUGAAAGUGAAAGUUAGGAACCCUCGCAAGAGGGUGCACUGACACCCGGCCCUGAAGUUCUCUGACGGUGCUGCGGUAGAGCAAGUAUGUUGGGACCCGAAAGAUGGUGAACUAUGCCUGAAUAGGGCGAAGCCAGAGGAAACUCUGGUGGAGGCUCGUAGCGAUUCUGACGUGCAAAUCGAUCGUCAAAUUUGGGUAUAGGGGCGAAAGACUAAUCGAAACCAUCUAGUAGCUGGCUGCUGCGAGUUCCCUCAGA
Molecule: ribosomal RNA, 965 nt
Filed under: Inonotus porrectus
Lineage: Eukaryota; Fungi; Basidiomycota; Agaricomycetes; Hymenochaetales; Hymenochaetaceae
Description: LSU rRNA
Rfam family: Eukaryotic large subunit ribosomal RNA
Source: RNAcentral